GCUAGGGCCAGUUCCAGAUUCCAGCACAAGUGCCACUGUUCUGUCCCCUCUGUGUGCGGCUCCAAGAGAACAACAAUGAGAAUGUGGACAAUUAUGCAGUAGCUGUGCUGUUGGGAGCCGAUCCUUCUCUCAGUUCCUGCAAGGACGCAGCAAGGUUGAGGUGGCUCGGAGCACUGCACGUCUGGGAGACAGGUAGGCAAUGCCUCAGUUCACCUUCGCCUGCUUCUGCGGUCUCCACGGCCUCUGCCGACGGAAGAAGAAGAAAAGGGAGGCAGGAGACGAGCGCCCGCAGGACUAUGAGACCCAGGUCUGAUAAAGCAGGACUGAGUGCGCCCGUGUUUCAGUAAGUUAUAGAGAAACCAGACACCAGCGAAAAGCCUCCUUACAUGCCCUUGGCCCAGCUCAGGGAAUGAACUUAAAGACUCCUUUCUUGGGUUCCUUGUGAAAAAUGUACCAGCCGAAACAAGUUAAGCGACCAGCACAGAGGCUGCAGUGCGCAUCCUGCACCACACUCGCACACACACCUUCAUUCAUCAGCUAGGAGGCGGCCUUUCAGUUUAACCGUCACACCCCUAAGAAUAAAACAAAUUAAACAUCAUUCACAAAGUGAAGGAACAAGGUUCACCAGAUUAAACCCCUCCCCAGCCGCUCCCAAGAUAUAGAACAACUUUCAGUGUGCACCACUAACUCAAAAAACAUUAGAAUCUGUCCACCGUGAGCAAUUAUUUGAGUUUAAAAUUUGAUUAUAGUAUUUUUUAUCAGAGAUUGUUACAUGGUUACAAAGUGAUUACAGGUCUUUUCAGUUUGUUGUGCAGUGUUUCGGUAGAGGCGGGCUGCAGUGGAGGUGCUUCCCGACACCUGCUUCUGGGGCCUUCCUUCUCCAACAGUUUGUUAAUUGCUUUCGUGGUAAUUAUGAACCCCUGGGGAGAUCCAAGUGCCCCUUCUCAAAUGCCACCAUGGUAAAAGGAUGGGCACCAUCUGUCAUUUCUUGGGAACACUUCAAAUCUGGCCCUGAGCAAGUUUCACCUGACUUCCUCUCAAUUAUUGUGCCCAACUUGGAAGGCGA
Molecule: non-coding RNA, 1066 nt
Organism: Electrophorus electricus (electric eel)
Lineage: Eukaryota; Metazoa; Chordata; Actinopteri; Gymnotiformes; Gymnotidae
Source: RefSeq, a predicted model, not a curated record